RNAcentral lists this long non-coding RNA (246 nucleotides) under Capsicum annuum. RNAcentral describes it as "long non-coding RNA (CANN_LNC014196)". Lineage: Eukaryota; Viridiplantae; Streptophyta; Magnoliopsida; Solanales; Solanaceae. The record is from RNAcentral.
UGGCCAUAUCAGCACUAACUUAUUCUUCUCUUUAGUCACAAUAGUAGUCUCACAUUUCUUCAAAACACAUUAUACCGUACUGAGCCACAUGAUAUCAACAAUGGGAUAAAUUACACCAUCAUCCAACCACUUGAUUAUCUCUUUCUUCAUCACCUCCUACAUAAGAGUAUUCAGUCAAUACUGAUAUUCUAAACUUAGAAUACACUUCGGUUUAAGUUGAAUUUUAUGAUUACACAACCUAGGUUA